RNAcentral lists this ribosomal RNA (253 nucleotides) under uncultured bacterium. RNAcentral's name for it is "partial 16S ribosomal RNA". It matches the Rfam family "Bacterial small subunit ribosomal RNA", at positions 524 to 776 of the family's 1533-position model. The record is from RNAcentral.
UACAGAGGUCCCAAGCGUUGUUCGGAUUCACUGGGCGUAAAGGGUGCGUAGGUGGUGAGGUAAGUCGGAUGUGAAAUCUCCGAGCUCAACUCGGAAACUGCAUUGGAAACUACCUUGCUCGAGGGUUGGAGGGGGGACUGGAAUGCUUGGUGUAGCAGUGAAGUGCGUAGAUAUCAAGCGGAACACCAGUGGCGAAGGCGAGUCCCUGGACAACUCCUGACACUGAUGCACGAAAGCUAGGGGAGCAAACAGG